This is an RNA transcript of Panicum virgatum (switchgrass), 2989 nucleotides long. RefSeq lists it as uncharacterized. The record is from RefSeq and is a predicted model, not a curated record. The transcript is spliced from 9 exons. Lineage: Eukaryota; Viridiplantae; Streptophyta; Magnoliopsida; Poales; Poaceae.
AUUUCAAAAUUAAAUUCCCAGCAUCCGAACGCAAAGCAUCCAACCAUUACUCACACACCGUAUAACAAAUUCACAGAAUGUGAACAUUAUUAGCAUCAUUGAACCACAAAAGCACAGUUCUCAUCCAUACACAGUUCCCUCACAAACAAGGCAGCACAAGACAUUUUCCAUCUCGCAGUACACACAAGUCGAACAAAACUUUUAAUUACGGUUAAACAAAGCAAGCGCAAGGGUAUCACGAAACUCAUUCAUGAUGUCCGGUUCAUCAGGCACUUCUUCUGUGUCCGGUUGAUCCUCCGAUGCUUCAUCUGGGACAUAAUUUUCAUCACGAUCACAGCAGCAGAAGUGUCUAUCCCGUAUGCCACUAUUCCUAAUGAAAUUAUGCAAUGCACAUGCGGCCUGUAUGAUUUCGCUCUGCUUAUCAGGGGCAUAAGCGCGCGGGGUAGCCGGCGAGGCCGUGACCUAAGGUCCACGAACUCGGCGCCCUCGGGUACUCCGUGGAAGCUGCGGCCGCCGGGAAGCCGGAGCCUCCCAAGGUCCACGAACUCGGCGGCCUCGGGUACGCCGUGUAUGACGCGGCCGACGGGAACCCGGAGCCCACUGCGAAGGGGGCACCUUGGUUCGGAGCGUCGUCGCCUCCAUUGAAAGCCUCGCCAUCGGAGCUGUCCAUGGGGUCCAGCGGGAACCCGAGCGCGUGGAUCUGCACGGGCGGCGCUGGUCUGACGGGGGUGCGAUGCGAUGGUGGGAAGAGGAGCUAGGGGAGGCGGCGGCUAGGGUUGGCGAGGGCGACGGGCGAAUGGAGGCGGGUCAAUCGGAGGAUCUGCGUGGUGGGGGUGAAUCGGACGACGACCGCCGGCGGACGGAGCGAGGGCAAGCAGCGGCGCAAGCGGGUAUGGGAGCGGCGCUCCUGCGUGCCUGGGAAGGGGAUCGAGGGGCGGCGGUCUAGGGUUGGUGUCAGGGGGCGGGUCGGGAUAUGGGUUUUGCGUGCUGUUUAGUUUGACACAAUCCGCACACCGAAAUUUUUUUGGCCCACCCGAAUUUUUUCAGGAACUAAACGCGGCCGAAAGGUGAUCGAUUGUUUGGCGCGCUCCUUGUCAGGCUUUCAUAGGGCAUGCUAGACAAAACAGUUCUACAGAGCCCGGGCUCGCCUUCCCCUCUCCGAUGGAUCGCCCGCGCACAGGCGUAGCACGGGGAUUGGGUUACAUGACCCCGUCUCCAGUACAGCUCAGUCCCGAGCCCUAGUCCCCGGGGCGGCGGCGGCGGCGGCACCAUGGCGGCAGCUGUCAGCUGGUACGGGCCGCUGAUCGACCUCUCGGCGGCCGCCAGCCAUGUCGGCGGAUUCGUGCAGCUGCUGGCGGCCGUCCGCCGCGUCCUUCCCCAUCAGGGACUAAACGCUGCAACCGGGAGGACGUACCAGAAGACCAUCGUUGAAAUCGGCGACGACUCGCGUUCCAGCUUCUGUGUCUCUCUGUGGUCGUCCAAGCAGAGUUCGGGCAUAAUCGCUGGCGAUGUCUUACUAAUGCAGAAUAUUAGGAUAGUGGAGUUUAGAAAUGGCUUGGAGGGAAGAGCUUCUCAGAUAUCCGCAGUACAAGUAUUGUUCAACUCUAAAGACUUGACGAACCCUGAAGGAAUAGGUGAACUAAUAACCAGUUGUAAAGUGGGGGACGCUACAAAAUCAAAGCUAAGAAGAGUGGCAGAAUGGACCAUACGCACUAAACGUGCUCUUGGUGAAAGUCAUCAACAGUUGCAGGUGAUAUCGAAGAACUGGAAAGAAGCAAAAGAGAAGGAAUCACCAGACUUGUUGUGUAUAUCAGAACUAUUCUCUCAGAGAAAAUUAUGUUAUAUGAAUGUUUAUGCAUGUAUCUCCAAGAUGGUUCUAGCGACUUCGCCGACCUCCCACUUGGGGCACCUGUCAGUUAUCGACAAACAUUCUUUGAAAGAGCACAGUGAAAUUGUCAGAGAUUUCAUUACUGCUGGCUGCAAGUUAUGUGGUUCGCCUCUAUAUCACAAAAACCUUCAUGGGGAAAACUCAUCUGCUAUAGAUUGUCCGAAUAACCCAAAGUAUCUCCAUGUUCCUGGUCAGAUAUACAAACCAUUUACGAUAUAUGUCUAUGACCAAUCUGGACAAGUUCCUUUGCUUGUAAGGAAUAAAGCAGCAGAGAUCUUAUUUGCCAAUAUCAUUGCAGAUGAUGUAUCUGAAUGCUACAAGAGCCACAUGCUGUUAGAAACCGUUGAGUCAGGCUGGCAGGACAUCAGUCUUGGAAUCAGCAGGAACAUGAUUCAAUUUGGUUGAAACUGUAUCUGGGCUCUGAGCUGUUUAAUACUAAUGAUGGUGCUGGCUCAAACCCAUUUCACAAAAAGAAAGGGAAACAUGAAGUCAGGAGUUGCAUAGAAGUAAAGAGUGAUGCAGGAUUAUGAUGGUGAAGAUCUGAACCUGGAUCAGAAAGUUUUUUUUUUCAGAAACAGAAAGUAGUUUCUUUCGAUGGUUUAGCAUCUGCAAGAAAAUUCUGAUUUGCAACUCUCUAAAGAAGGUUGCUCUGAUGACAUCGUUGUUACUUCAAUAGCAUCCUGCCCUGAAGUUACCAUUGUUAGCUGUAGCCAGCAGCACUAUUCUUAAACUGAAUAGGCUUCUCCAGCACUGAUUAGCAGGUAGAUUGUGGUCGUUGAAGAAUUUUUUUUAAGCAACUUGAGAUGAAGGUUUGUACUCGACCAAUAAUGGUGAUGAGGCUUGUGCGCACUGUAUUCUUCAUCUUGCUACAGCUUCCUCAGGCCGCUGCACAGGGGCGUGCUUUCUGAUUUGUGGCAACCAUCUACCUGCAUCUGAUAUCCUUCAGAUAUGCAUAUUUCCAUUCGCUCUUUUCCCUUUCUUCCCGUUGACUUUCAACCUCAACCGCAUCGGAAUUGAAUUCUGUUUUGUUUUAGCACUGAAGCAAACCAAAAAAAAAAAACUAUGAUCCGAUAAUGGCAGUGGCACGUACAAUUACAUUCA